RNAcentral lists this long non-coding RNA (1651 nucleotides) under Anas platyrhynchos (mallard). RNAcentral's name for it is "lncRNA (ENSAPLG00020001143.1)". Lineage: Eukaryota; Metazoa; Chordata; Aves; Anseriformes; Anatidae. The record is from RNAcentral.
ACAAAAUAAGAAUAUGUACAAGUAAAAGGAUCUUUAAUCCCGAAAGGUCUCAAGACACUAGACUGACCUUGCACUGGUACACAGGUGGGAUAGGAAAUGGCAGUUGCUUUUGCACAAUGUUCAGUAGCAUUCUGCAGGGGAUAGUUUAGGAGAUGAAGAAAAAUUUGGCAACCAUGUUAGAGUGAAACCACAGGCUUACCAAAACUAGACGGUGACCAGCAGGCACAGGCUGGUUCCACUUGGAAGAAAAAAGUGGAGCUUUUAGUGACCAGAAAUAGAAACAACUUUGAUAGCACUUCCUCCAUGUUAUUGCUGGUGGCAGCAUGGUGUAGAGCAUGCUUGCACCAUGUUACAUCAUUUGUUCAGUCCUGACUCACAAAGAGCCCCUUACCGAAUCAUUCACACCAGAAACUACAACAGACUUCAUUUUUCUAGGAGAUAAUCAUGACUAACAGAGCUUCUGUUAUCAUAAUCUGGGCAGCUCCUGGCCUACUGUGGAAGUUUCCCACAAAAGAUUUCACUACUGCAAUUAAAUAUACAGCUAAUCAUUGGAUUUUAUUAUCAUUUUUAUUCUUGUAGCCAGGCUCAAGGUCUUGGAAAACCUUCUAUGCAAAACUUGAUGGACUAAAGCUUGAUAUCUAUAAUGAUGAAGAAGAAGCAUCUAAGAAUAUAUCCGCGUUCCAGUCCCUCAGCAUUGCUGGUGCCAAAUGUGAGAGGCUGACAAAUUACAUCAGGAAAGAGAACACCUUCAUGUUACGGCUGAUAAAUGGGGCAGAGUAUUACUUUGCAGCACCUUCUCAGAUGCUGAUGGAAAACUGGCUGAAGUCACUACAGAAUAAUAUAGAACACAGAAACAGACCAGGUUCCACAGCAAUGGUAAGGCCUUUUGUUCCAAGCACAGAGACCUCCCAGACAAGACUGUGGAACCUUCCAGACAGAGACUCUGCUGAAAGUCUAACCAGCAAAAGUGCACUCCUGAGGAGAACACCUUCUUUCAAAAUCAAACGGGAGAAAGAGUCUGCAGAAUUUUUCAGAGAUUUGAAGGAAGAUGGAACUGCAGUGGCAUAAGCCUCCACAACCACCCUGAGCCUAGAACAAAGCGGUAAUAAAACAAAGCUGCCUCCAACUUUAUGAGAACCUGGAAGAAAAAAAUAACAUUUGCCUCAAUGAAUACCAGACCUUCACCAUUAUAUUGUAACUUCUGGAAAUGUAUUCAUAAGUUUUAAUUUAAUCACUACCCUUCGAACUUACUUUAAUUAUGUAUUAAAUCUGGUCAAACCAUUAAACAUAAUUAAACACAGCUGCAUCUGGUAUACUUUUGUGGAUACGACAACUCUGUCACUUACCAUAUUACCUAAGUGAUACAUUCUCCAAGUUACCUAACGGAAAAGCAGAGGGAGGUUUAAGCCAGACAGCUCACAUGAAGUGACUUUGCAAGAGGGCAAUGGGGAACCAUGAGCAGAGCACAAGGUGCAAGCUGUCCAUGAACAGCAGCCACCUGCAAGUAGCUUCAGAGAUACCAAUUGAAAAGUUUUAAGCUGUUUUUAUGGUCUGUACAUCACAAAAGCAGUAGUCUUAAGGGGAAUGCUUUUUUAUGUAAUUUUUACAGUGUUUCGUAGUCUCCACAAUCUUUCAUUUUACAAUACCAACC